This 799-nucleotide ribosomal RNA is filed under the name uncultured Rhizophagus. RNAcentral's name for it is "SSU rRNA". It matches the Rfam family "Eukaryotic small subunit ribosomal RNA", at positions 314 to 1114 of the family's 1831-position model. The record is from RNAcentral. Lineage: Eukaryota; Fungi; Glomeromycota; Glomeromycetes; Glomerales; Glomeraceae.
AUCAACUUUCGAUGGUAGGAUAGAGGCCUACCAUGGUGGUAACGGGUAACGGGGUGUUAGGGCACGACACCGGAGAGGGAGCCUGAGAAACGGCUACCACAUCCAAGGAUGGCAGCAGGCGCGCAAAUUACCCAAUCCCGACACGGGGAGGUAGUGACAAUAAAUAACAAUACGGGGUUCUUUUGGAUUUCGUAAUUAGAAUGAGUACAAUUUAAAUCUCUUAACGAGGAACAAUUGGAGGGCAAGUCUGGUGCCAGCAGCCGCGGUAAUUCCAGCUCCAAUAGCGUAUAUUAAAGUUGUUGCAGUUAAAAAGCUCGUAGUUGAAUUUCGGGGUUAGUAGGCUGGUCAUGCCACAGGUAUGCACUGGUCUUACUGAUUCCUCCUUCCUGAUGAACCGUAAUGCCAUUAAUUUGGUGUUGCGGGGAGUCUGGACUGUUACUUUGAAAAAAUUAGAGUGUUUAAAGCAGGCUAACGCUUGAAUACAUUAGCAUGGAAUAACGAAAUAGGACGUUCGAUCUUAUUUUGUUGGUUUCUAGGAUUGACGUAAUGAUUAAUAGGGAUAGUUGGGGGCAUUAGUAUUCAAUUGUCAGAGGUGAAAUUCUUGGAUUUAUUGAAGACUAACUACUGCGAAAGCAUUUGCCAAGGAUGUUUUCAUUAAUCAAGAACGAAAGUUAGGGGAUCGAAGACGAUCAGAUACCGUCGUAGUCUUAACCAUAAACUAUGCCGACUAGGGAUCGGAUGAUGUUAAUUUUAUAAUGACUCAUUCGGCGCCUUACGGGAAACCAAAGUGUUUGGGUUC